CUUGCCGUAACAACCUGCCCACCAAGCUAGUUUUUCAAGCUAUUACUUUAUUUUUUUAUUUUUAGUAACAGGGGAACACUGUUACGCACGCUGCUCACUGUAUUGCAACAUUCUUCAAAAUAUACUUUCUGUUUCUUAUGGAAAUACCCAGUCCUCACUCACAUUCUCAAGAAUACACCACAUUUUUUUGCAGAGCGUGUUUAAACCCGUGGGAAACAUUUAUUUUAAAUUCUUUUGAAUCUGAAUCGAAAUUGUUUUGUUCAGUGGUGGAGAAAACCGGUUUACCUGAGCAGGAGAUGUCAGAGUCAUCCCAGAACCAUCUAAACAACCUUGAAAGUCUUCCACUGACUACUGUAACAGGAACAGGUCUUCAACAACCCGAGGAAACCUGCAGUCAAGUAAUCUGUGAGGACUCUACUGCGUCCUGCUGCAAUGACAAGUACCACAGGAAACUGGCCGUCUGUAGCAUCAUCUGCGGGUUUUCCUGCUGCGGAGUCCCAGCUUUGAUUUAUUCUGUCAAGGCUGAGGAUGCUGAAAAAGCUGAGAAGGCCGAGCCGACGACAGACAGGAGAGCUCCAGAGUAUUUAAGACAGGCCAAAAAAUGGGGCAUCAUCUCCAUCGUGACGUGGGUUUCCGUUCUAGUGUCAGCUCCAUUGCUGCUGGCACUGGGCUCAUAUCUCGCCACUUUGAUUGACUGAUCAACCUCAAAGGAGAACAGCCAGAGGAGUGUCUCUGCUGAUGUUUAAGGAGACGGACAGUGGAGAGCAGGAAGCUGCUGAAUCAAUGGCUACGAACACCAAAGCUGUGGAGAAACUACAGGUUACAUUAAAUGGAAAAAGGCUGUCUUGGUUUUUCUUACGCUGAAAUGGGUGCUGUCCUAAUUUAUACUUUUCUAGCUCCUUUAGUUUUUACACAAAGAACAAACAUCUUUCAAAAUAGUAUUAAAUGUCUAACAACUGUUUUUGUUAUAUGCUGUGAUAUUUAUUAAACCAUCUGUUGACCCGUGGACUAUACGAACGUACAUGUAUAUAUUAUAGAUUGAAGACUAAAGCUGUUAUAUAUAAUAUAAAGCUACUUAAAUGUAAAGCUGCUCCCGUAAAGACUCAAUCCUUAAUAUUCUUACAGUUAUACUUUAACUUUCUUACUGUAGAUGACUACAGAUGCUAUAUAAGUUAAUCAAUCAAUCAACAAGUCACUUUAAAAUGAGGCAACUUGUGACUUUAGGAUUGAGUCUCUACUGGAGAUAAAAUGCGAGGCAGUGAUUGGGGCAGUGCUUUAUCAGGACAUUAUGAGGUCCUGUUCUUGCUAUUUUAGUUUAUUAAUGUCAAAUGUAUAUAUAUGCUGCACUUUUAUACAAACAUUAACAAACAAUUUUAUAAUAAAAUGAGGAAACUUUUAUGGUCUUCAUCCACUUGAAACAUUUUAACAUGUACUCAUUAAAAAAACGUUGCCAUGGGAUUAUUGCAUUGUUACAAUAUUUACUUCAUUAAUGUCAAAUGUAUAUAUAUACACAUGUUGUACUUUUAUACAAGCAUUAACACAAGCUGUUUUCUAAUAAAAUGACAGAUUUUUUAUGCUUUGA
This is a long non-coding RNA of Astatotilapia calliptera (eastern happy), 1582 nucleotides long. The record is from Ensembl. Lineage: Eukaryota; Metazoa; Chordata; Actinopteri; Cichliformes; Cichlidae.